This 712-nucleotide ribosomal RNA is filed under the name Capsala pricei. Its description in RNAcentral is "12S ribosomal RNA". The record is from RNAcentral. Lineage: Eukaryota; Metazoa; Platyhelminthes; Monogenea; Capsalidea; Capsalidae.
AAAUUGGUUUAAUUAUGGCCAUUAUAAGCUCCCUCUUGAGAAAUUACAUAGUAAUUUACUUGUUAUUUUAAUUACUCUUAAUUAUUUUUUACUAGUAACGCAUUUUUCAUCAGAUAAAAAAUAUGCUGAGGUCUCAGGGGUUAUAAGUGGAUAAUUCACAGUGCCAGCAUCCGCGGUUAUUCUGUAGCUUUAGCUUAUUUAUAUACUAUUAUUUUAUUCUUAAUAAUUUCUUUGAGGUCAAAUUUUAGGAAUUAUAAAAUUGUUAGAAUAAUUUUUAUUAAAUAUAUUUUUAAACAUGAAUUAGAUACUCAUUUAUAAAAUAUUUUAAACUUUAAAUUUUAGUUAAACUAAAAUAAUUUGGCAGCUGACUAUUCUUUAUUGGGGAUGGUGUGUCUUAAAAGAUAAUCCGCUUUUUAUUUUACCUUCAUUAAUUAGUUGGUGUACGUCCGGUUUGAUAUUAACAAUUAAAUUUUAUUGUUAGUGUACACUUAUUUGUUUAAGCUAGGUCAAUGUGCUACUUAUAUGAGGGGUUUCAUUCCAUACUUUAACAAGAUUUAAAUGAAAAAUUAAAGAUUUAGGACUAAUUAGUAAUCACUUUAAACAUGAUGUGUUGAAUUAAGUUUAGUCGGGGUACAUACCGCCCGUCAAUCUCGAUAUAAAUUGAGAUAAGUCGUAACAUGGUAGCUGUAGGGGAACCUGUAGCUAGUAGAUC